RNAcentral lists this long non-coding RNA (1077 nucleotides) under Volvox carteri. RNAcentral's name for it is "long non-coding RNA (VCAR_LNC000139)". Lineage: Eukaryota; Viridiplantae; Chlorophyta; Chlorophyceae; Chlamydomonadales; Volvocaceae. The record is from RNAcentral.
GGACCGAUGCUAUUUGGGGUGUGACCUGAUGCGAUUCGGGGUUUGGAAUGGACCGAUUUUAUUUUAGCGGUUGCGUGAAGCUUUGCACGAGGCUGCGACGUACAUGAGGCGCCUUAGCACGGUAUCGUGCACGGUAAGUCUGGGCCGCAAGCUUGGGGGUUGAACUGCUGUUCGCGCUCAAAUGCAUCCGUUAGUCGUUGGAAUUGGAAUAUUUAACCGUUUUAUCUGUUCUUAUGCAGGGUCUCCACUUCCGCAGGCUUUCUGUUUGAAAGUUGCACGAGUGCGCGGCCUCAGGUCUAACGAGGCUGCGACGUGCGUGAGGCGCCUUAGCACGGUAUCGUGCACGGUAAGUCUGGGCCGCACGCUUGGGGGGUAAACUGCCGUUCGCGCUCAAAUGCAUCCGUUAGUCGUUGGAAUUGGAAUAUUUAACCGUUUCGUCUGUACAUAUGCAGGGUCUCCACUUCCGCAGGCUUUCUGUUUGAAAGUUGCACGAGUCCGCGGCCUCAGGUCUAACUAGGCUGCGGAGUACGUGAGCCGCCUUAGCACGGUAUCGUGCACGGUAAGUCUGGGCCGCAAGCUUGGGGGGUAAACUGCCGUUCGCGCUCAAAUGCAUCCGUUAGUCGUUGGAGUUGGCAUGUUUAACCGUUUCAUCUGUACAUAUGCAGGGGCUCCAGUCCGCAUUGUGGAGCCCGCGCCAAUAGCCAAGCUGCGGCCUCAGGUCUAACUAGGCUGCGACGUGCGUGAGGCGCCUUAGCACGGUAUCGUGCACGGUAAGUCUGGGCCGCACGCUUGGGGGGUAAACUGCCGUUCGCGCUCAAAUGCAUCCGUUAGUCGUUGGAAUUGGCAUAUUUAACCGUUUCGUCUGUACAUAUGCAGGGUCUCCACUUCCGCAGGCUUUCUGUUUGAAAGUUGCACGAGUGCGCGGCCUCAGGUCUAACGAGGCUGCGACGUACGUGAGGCGCCUUAGCACAGUAUUGUGCACGGUAAGUCUGGGCCGCAAGCUUGGGGGGUAAACUGCCGUUCGCGCUCAAAUGCAUCCGUUAGUCGUUGGAGUUGGCAUGUUUAACCGUUUCAUCU